This 499-nucleotide ribosomal RNA is filed under the name uncultured bacterium. Its description in RNAcentral is "bacterial SSU rRNA". It matches the Rfam family "Bacterial small subunit ribosomal RNA", at positions 9 to 526 of the family's 1533-position model. The record is from RNAcentral.
GAGUUUGAUCAUGGCUCAGGACGAACGCUGGCGGCGUGCCUAACACAUGCAAGUCGAGCGAGGAAGCCCCUUCGGGGGUGGGAUAGCGGCGGACGGGUGAGUAACACGUGGGUAACCUGCCUCAAAGAGGGGGAUAGCCUCUCGAAAGGGAGAUUAAUACCGCAUAGAAGGUAAAAAUCGCAUGAUAAAUACCUUAAGGAGCAAUCCGCUUUGAGAUGGGCCCGCGUCGCAUUAGCUAGUUGGAGGGAUAAAAGCCCCCCAAGGCGACGAUGCGUAGCCGACCUGAGAGGGUGAACGGCCACAUUGGAACUGAGAUACGGUCCAGACUCCUACGGGAGGCAGCAGUGGGGAAUAUUGCACAAUGGGGGAAACCCUGAUGCAGCAACGCCGCGUGAGUGAAGAAGGUUUUCGGAUCGUAAAGCUCUGUCAUCCGGGACGAUAAUGACGGUACCGGAAGAGGAAGCCACGGCUAACUACGUGCCAGCAGCCGCGGUAAUAC